CCUACGGGAUGCUGCAGUGGGGAAUAUUGGACAAUGGGCGAAAGCCUGAUCCAGCCAUGCCGCGUGUGUGAAGAAGGCCUUCGGGUUGUAAAGCACUUUCAGUGGGGAAGAAAGCCUUGGGGCUAAUACCCUCGAGGAAGGACAUCACCCACAGAAGAAGCACCGGCUAACUCCGUGCCAGCAGCCGCGGUAAUACGGAGGGUGCGAGCGUUAAUCGGAAUUACUGGGCGUAAAGCGCGCGUAGGCGGUCUGAUAAGCCGGUUGUGAAAGCCCCGGGCUCAACCUGGGAACGGCAUCCGGAACUGUCAGGCUAGAGUGCAGGAGAGGAAGGUAGAAUUCCCGGUGUAGCGGUGAAAUGCGUAGAGAUCGGGAGGAAUACCAGUGGCGAAGGCGGCCUUCUGGACUGACACUGACGCUGAGGUGCGAAAGCGUGGGUAGCAAACAGGAUUAGAUACCCGAGUAGUC
This 465-nucleotide ribosomal RNA is filed under the name Vreelandella stevensii. Its description in RNAcentral is "partial 16S ribosomal RNA". It matches the Rfam family "Bacterial small subunit ribosomal RNA", at positions 338 to 795 of the family's 1533-position model. Lineage: Bacteria; Pseudomonadati; Pseudomonadota; Gammaproteobacteria; Oceanospirillales; Halomonadaceae. The record is from RNAcentral.